GGGGAUGUAUUGUUUCGACAGGAUAGCACAUUAAAAACUGCAAGCCGAAUACGAUUCUAAAGUGCGUAGUCUUUGAAUCAAACUUAAGUGCAAAAAACAUAUUUGCACGACUGGCCUCCCUUUUUAGGGUUGCGCCGGUAGCUCCAGUAUUUGCCUAAAAACAAAGCUUGAGCUUGUCUCUUGGGCUUUUUCUCGGUGAGGCUUUCGAGGCACAAACUUAGCCGAGAGUAGGUCUUCAGCCUUGAUCAGGCUUCAGACUGAAACUGCCGAUCUUUGCGCUGGUUUCACCUGUCAAUCGGUUAAAGACUUGCGCGAGAACUAAAAGAUUGACCAAGCUUGUAGAUGUUUUUGAUUAGUUGUUCUGGACGCCGAGUCACACUCGGCCAUCUCCACAC
RNAcentral lists this transfer-messenger RNA (395 nucleotides) under Patescibacteria group. RNAcentral describes it as "2-12-FULL-41-17 sp001774945 Standard tmRNA". It matches the Rfam family "transfer-messenger RNA". From Rfam's summary of the family: Bacterial tmRNA, also known as 10Sa RNA or SsrA, is named for its dual tRNA and mRNA-like properties. Its role is to liberate the mRNA from a stalled ribosome. The record is from RNAcentral. RNAcentral also lists the same sequence under 1 other name.